AUUAGACAGGCUGUGGGGCUGUCCUGAAACUCUGCGCUUGCCCAGUGCCUUUGGAUGGGUGCCCUGGGAAGGCUGGAAGCUGGGCGGGCCCUGCAGAAGAGGAUGGAGCCACAGCUUUGCUGAUUCCAGUGAAGCCCAAGGAAGGGCUCAGCUAUCCAGGAAACCCUCCAGGGGAAAAGGAUUGGGUUCUGGAAUCACAAAGCCCAGGGUCUUAAUCACAGCUCUACUGCUUACAAGCUUCGGACAUUGAGUUGAACUCUUGACAGUCUGAGGCCCAGUCUCCAUAUCCGUAAAAAGGGAAUAAUGAGGCCUUCUUAGGUUUGCUGGGGGUGUUUGAACAGGAAGCUCUGGGCCCAGGCUCCAUUCGGACCUCCCAUUUUUCUACCCACAAACACCCCUCCCCAUGGAAUAGUCUGUGCCAGGCUAAGCAGGGCACAGUGCUUGGGCCAAAGGCACACAGAGGAAGUCCCCCCUGGAAAACCUUGGAAGAAAGAAAUGGAUGGCCCCAGAGGACACAGCGAUGAUGCUGACAAUGGACAGAAAACUGCUCAGAGAAAGAUCUUUAUGUGUCAAUGGUAAGACAAAAAAAUGGAAAUACUCGAAAGAUUCAAAACCAGAAAUGGAUUAAGUGGCAGUGGAGUAUUAUGGCUUGGUGAUAAAGACUGCGCAUUCUGGAAUCAGAUGGACCUGGAAGCCUGAUGGGAAAGAGAUGUGAGGUCGUUGAAGGAGCCUUCAGGAACGCUGGAAAUGUCAUUGCCAUGGAGGGUUCUGAAGCAGAGGGCACAGGUCGGAAGCUGAGAAAGGAAGAGACCCAAGGGAGUUACUGGAGUUUCAGAGAUCAUAUGAAGAGCUGUGCUUAAGACCGGAAGUUCUGGAGCCAGGCUGUAUGUCAAAGUGCCAACCCUGGACCAUGGUUGGGAGGUCACAGUGAGUCACCUUCUGGCUCAGCAGAAGAAUUUUCUGAUGCUCUAAUAGCUGGUCAAAAGUGGAAUAGAGUUGCCUGGGUCUGGCUCUAUUGCCCAGGCUGGAAUGCAAUGGCGUGCUCUCAGCUCACUGCAACCUCUGCCUCCCAGGCUCCAAUGAUCCUCCCACCUCCGCCUCCCAAGUAGCUGGGACUACAGGCGCAUGUUACCAUGCCUGGCUAAUUUUUUGAAUUUUUUGGUAGAGACAGGGUUUCACUAUGUUGCCCAGGCUAGUCUUGAAGUCCUGGGCUCAAGCAAUCCUCCCACCUCGGCCUCCCAAAGUGCUGGGAUUACAGGUGUGAGCCACCAUGCUGGGGCAAGCCUACUAAUUCGUAUUUCAAGAAGCAAGUGCUAGCGUGUUGUAUGGUUACGUGUACCGCUGAUGAACUCAUGGCAGUAGUAGUGCCAGACUGGGACAAAUGAUGCUGAGGAAAGAGAAAACCCUGGUCAGGCUGGUGGUGUUCACCCCAUCACCCCCACCACCCCAAAAGACAGACAGAUGGACGGGCAAACAUUUUCUCUCCCUCUUACAUAUUGAGUUGCCCCAAACAUCACUACUCUAAUUAUGAACAGAUGCAUGCAGAUUCCUUAAAAUUGGCAGGUCCCACCUCCUGGCAGUGAACCCACACACGGAACUAUUAGACUGGGAUGGAAGACAAUAGGUUGGGAUUGAGGGGGAAUGGUAGGAGAAGGAAGGGGGAGCAGGUCCGGCUUCAGCCCUGGCCAGUGAUACGAGCCCAUCUCCUGCUGUGUUCAACUGGAAACAGGGAAAUGGUUGUGCUGAUGUAUCCAUUCUCAAACUCCCCAGAGAAGGUGGAUAAUAAAUAAGUGACAAUAACAGAUUGCACACUGUCAGCGCGGGCACUUCUUUGCCCCCAGAGAAUUGAUUUUUAAUAACAGCGCAGAUGACAUGUGGCGGGAGUUGUCACUGACACCGGUGUUUUGUGGGCCUCAAUAAAUCACAUCAGCCUGGAGGCUCUGAAAUGG
This 1949-nucleotide long non-coding RNA is filed under the name Homo sapiens (human). Its description in RNAcentral is "SLIT3 antisense RNA 2 (SLIT3-AS2)". The record is from RNAcentral. Lineage: Eukaryota; Metazoa; Chordata; Mammalia; Primates; Hominidae.